GACGAACGCUGGCGGCGUGCUUAACACAUGCAAGUCGAACGGAAAGGCCCUGCUUUUGUGGGGUGCUCGAGUGGCGAACGGGUGAGUAACACGUGAGUAACCUGCCCUUGACUUUGGGAUAACUUCAGGAAACUGGGGCUAAUACCGGAUAGGAGCUCCUGCUGCAUGGUGGGGGUUGGAAAGUUUCGGCGGUUGGGGAUGGACUCGCGGCUUAUCAGCUUGUUGGUGGGGUAGUGGCUUACCAAGGCCUUGACGGGUAGCCGGCCUGAGAGGGUGACCGGCCACAUUGGGACUGAGAUAUGGCCCAGACUCCUACGGGAGGCAGCAGUGGGGAAUAUUGCACAAUGGGCGGAAGCCUGAUGCAGCAACGCCGCGUGCGGGAUGACGGCCUUCGGGUUGUAAACCGCUUUCGCCUGUGACGAAGCGUGAGUGACGGUAAUGGGUAAAGAAGCACCGGCUAACUACGUG
This 468-nucleotide ribosomal RNA is filed under the name uncultured bacterium. RNAcentral's name for it is "partial 16S ribosomal RNA". It matches the Rfam family "Bacterial small subunit ribosomal RNA", at positions 28 to 507 of the family's 1533-position model. The record is from RNAcentral.